This 67-nucleotide ribosomal RNA is filed under the name Arthrobacter sp. cf158. Its description in RNAcentral is "16S rRNA. Bacterial SSU". It matches the Rfam family "Bacterial small subunit ribosomal RNA", at positions 1 to 65 of the family's 1533-position model. Lineage: Bacteria; Bacillati; Actinomycetota; Actinomycetes; Micrococcales; Micrococcaceae. The record is from RNAcentral. RNAcentral also lists the same sequence under 1 other name.
CUUCAACGGAGAGUUUGAUCCUGGCUCAGGAUGAACGCUGGCGGCGUGCUUAACACAUGCAAGUCGA